Molecule: ribosomal RNA, 450 nt
Filed under: uncultured bacterium
Lineage: Bacteria
Description: bacterial SSU rRNA
Rfam family: Bacterial small subunit ribosomal RNA
Source: RNAcentral
GUGAGGAAUCUUCCGCAAUGGGCGAAAGCCUGACGGAGCAAUGCCGCGUGAACGAAGAAGGCCUUCGGGUUGUAAAGUUCUGUCCUAGCCGAAGAGAGAGGAAGGGAGUAACUGCCCUGCCUAGGACGGUAGGCUAGGAGGAAGCCCCGGCUAACUACGUGCCAGCAGCCGCGGUAAAACGUAGGGGGCAAGCGUUGUCCGGAAUCACUGGGCGUAAAGGGCGCGUAGGCGGCAAUAUAAGUCAGGUGUGAAAAGUGAGGGCUCAACCGUUAGAGUGCACCUGAUACUGUAUAGCUUGAGUAUGGGAGAGGGAAGCGGAAUUCCUAGUGUAGCGGUGAAAUGCGUAGAUAUUAGGAAGAACACCAGUGGCGAAGGCGGCUUUCUGGCCCAAAACUGACGCUGAGGCGCGAAAGCGUGGGGAGCAAACAGGAUUAGAAACCCUAGUAGUCC